UCAAACAAACAGAAAGAUUUUACCUUUUUCAGUCCAGUCCCAUCCACUCCGCUAUCCCUGGUCCGAAUCAGUCCCAAUUCUCAUCCAAUCCACCGCAAACUUGCCCCAAUUCCACCGACACAAACCCUAGUUCCAAUUUCGCGCCCGAAUUCACCGAAUCAAGUCAUCUGGAAUUGGGAACUCGGAUUCCGAUCUGGGUGCGUAGAAAUAUCGGCGGUUGACGAGCGGAGAGCUGUGGAUUCGUGAUCUCGUCGCGGUUAGAGCAGAGAGGGGAAGAGCUCGUGACAAUUAUGAUGCGGAUUUUAAUUAUUUUUUAAUAUUUUCUGGAUUAUUAUUUUUAAUUUAAUUAUUUAUUUCUUGUUUUUGUCCGAUGGAUGACGAAUCGCAGCAUCUCCCACCGGAUUUCGCUCUUUUAACGCUAGCGAGAAGACCAACGGAUAUUUUUAAUCGGCGGGACCCAUCUUUUUUUUUAGCAGGGCGGGGAUUGAACGGCAUCGCUACGUCGUCGUCUCGUUGGAGUCACGUGAUUGGCUCGUGACUUUAAAACGUGGCGCCAAAUCCACAGGAAGAAGAAGCUUCGAGUUUUCGCGGAGAGAGGGGCGACGGCAUCGUCUUCCGCGGCUAUCGCGGAGGAGUUCCGAAGGGAAACGCGGAGGUUUUCUUCCGGAAAGCGAAGGUCUGGAAGGACGACGGCGACGGCGACGGCGACGCACCGCCUGUCUUUGUAGAGUGAAUUCGUCUCCCUCUCUUGUUUUGGAAUUUUGAGAAGAAUUUCUGGAGUUGUUAAAGACUACCUCGGGUCCUUGGCGAAGAAUCGUUGCGAAAAAAUUUCGUGCUUGUGUACGAGUUGCUGGACCAAAUCAUUUUACUGCCUCUGGGUUCUGUUGGAAUUUUUACGGCCAAAAGAAUGCCAGUGACGACAAUCGCAAAAUCUGUUGUUGCAAAUGAGCGUGGAGGUAGAAAGAGAGAGGAAAAUUUUGUGGACGUAAUUGAAAAAAUGAGUGUUACUUUCAGUUCCAGUGGAUAUAUACUUCUGAGAUUGAUGGUACCAUCCAAUUGAAGAGUUAUCUCACAGGCAAUCCAGAAAUUUGACUUGCUCGAUUAUAUUUUAGGAACAGGGGUUGUUAUACUGGACGAUUGUAAUUUCCACGAAUCUGUACAUCUUGAUAGUUUCAAUGUUGACAUAACACUUACAUUGGUACCAACCGAUGGUGAAUUUCCUGUCAUGAAUUACCGCAUUACUCAGGAGUUCAAGCCAUCCUUUCGUAUUAAUGCGUUUAUUGAAGAAACAGGACUGUCUAAGGUGAAGAAAAAGUUCAAAAAACUCUUGUAUCUUAAAAUAGUAACAUCUGAUUCCAUCUAAAUCAUGCUUUGUUAGGCUGAUUUCCCCUCAAGCAUUAUUGCAGAUAAAAUCCUUGUGCAGAUUCCGCUGCCAGCAUAUACAGCAAAUGCCUACCUUAGAGUUAGAGCAAAAUUAAUGUUAGAUUUCUGGUCUGCUGUCUUAUAUUUUGCUUCUUUUGACUGAAGAGCAUAGAGCAUAGACUUUAAUUGUUAACUUUUAUUUGUAGAUAUUUGACCUAUAUUGUACCAAACUAGCCAUUGAUCAUUAAUGUAUGAUAAUAUUAUACUUUUAUAAGCAACUCCACAUAUAUGAUUUACUGAACUUCUCGGUAAUGUUAUCGUUGGUUAUGAUUAACCAUAUAGAAAAGCAUAUAAAGGAACUCUUAUGUAAACGUUGAUACUUUCAAGUAGGGUUCAGGAUUGACAGGAUCAACAACAGUGGAGCAAUUCCAGUUAGGCAGACAAUUCAUUUCCUAAAUUAUUCCUUUUCUUUCUCCUCUUUAAUAUGUUUCAUGGAAUUGUCUCUUGUAUAUUACACACUAUUUAUUAUGUUUCAGUUCAAACUUGGGACAGCUUUUAGAAAAUUUGGAUGAACUUUUACUCAGCGAUAAAUCUUUAGGUAACCACAUGCAAGAAUGGGGAAAAAUUUAAUCUUUCAAACUGGUUCCAUAUUUGCAUCACUGAUUAUCUCGUCCGCUCUGGGCUACGUCAGGGUUAGUUUUGAGUUGGAACCUGGAGCGGUUUGAAACACAACUGAUGGGUUUGCUUCAGUGUUCGAAAUUAGUAACAGGUGCCUUACAUUGUAGAUUGUUGGUGGAUCUGAACUUACAUUACAGGCAAAGCUGACAUUUUCACAGGAAUCACUUUGUAUACACUAUUUUAUUUUGGAGCCUGUAAUGCUAUAUUAUAUUCAAUGUCAUUUAUGUGUCAGAAGAAUGAAAAAGAAACUGGUGUGUAAAUUCUACUUUGUUUCUGCAUUUGUACUGAUGUAGGAAAUAUUACCAAAGAAGCUGGACCUCUUAGCAUGACCUUCACAAUACCUAUGGUCAAUGCUUAAAGGCUUCUGGUAAAGUACUUGCAUAUAACAAAUAAGUGGAAGAGCCACAAUCCAUAUCGAUGGGUGAGAUAUGCCACACACUCAAAUUCCUACGUUGCUGGGUUGUAAUAUCUCAUCUCCCUAAACUUGAGGGAUGUGUUCUACUUAUUGACGUUAAUUAUAAUGACAUGAAGCGACUGGGCGUUGGACUCUGAUGUAUCAGCAGGAAGCAUGCCCUCUACUGCAGAAAGGGAAACACAUUGGAAGCCCAUCGACACAAUACACGGGUCACAAUCAGGCUAGUAAACUGACCAGUUGAGUUCUGUGUGCUUUAGCGAAUGGUUCGAUUGACUUGCAUCUAGACAAAAAAAUGUCAAGUUCAAUUCUUUUUAAUACUUGUGUGCUGGAGAUUAUCAGGGUAUAUAUACUGCACAGUUUCGAUGUCUUUUUGGAAGAACUUGAUUCAUUUCACCAUCUCUGAGAUUCUGAACAGAAGUGGUGUGAAGGAAACUUGGAUAAUGGGACUUAUCUUUCUCUAGAUUAUCCGUGGAAUAGCCGAUAGCGAAAUGCCGUCCAGAUCGUGUGCUCAUUCCAAAUGGCUAAUACUAAAGAAAGCACCCGGAUGCCACUUACUCUAUUCAGCUAAUCUACGUCUAAAGUUACCGAUGAAAGCGAAGGAACUUUGGAUUAAUUAAAGAUACAGACAUAAUCUGGAAUGAAUUCUCAUUCAAUGCAGUAGAAGAAAGAGGACACCAUAUUGUCAGAGCAUAAAAGUGUUCGAGUCUUAAAUUGGAUGGAUUAGUAUAUGUUUUAUUUGCCCAUCCCUUGAAGUAAUAAACAUUCAUCGAAUAUCUUAAAAUUUCUUAAUUAUACUUGAGGAUAUAAUGAGUCUGUACUCUUAGUUGAUUGAGAACGUUCACCUCAUAUAAGAUCUUGUAGUCCCGAGUUUACG
Long non-coding RNA from Pyrus x bretschneideri (Chinese white pear), 3329 nucleotides. RefSeq lists it as uncharacterized. The record is from RefSeq and is a predicted model, not a curated record. NCBI's taxonomy places the organism in Eukaryota, Viridiplantae, Streptophyta, Magnoliopsida, Rosales, Rosaceae. The transcript has 11 exons.